RNAcentral lists this ribosomal RNA (473 nucleotides) under uncultured bacterium. RNAcentral's name for it is "bacterial SSU rRNA". It matches the Rfam family "Bacterial small subunit ribosomal RNA", at positions 328 to 793 of the family's 1533-position model. The record is from RNAcentral.
UGGCCAGACUCCUACGGGAGGCAGCAGUGGGGAAUAUUGCACAAUGGGCGCAAGCCUGAUGCAGCCAUGCCGCGUGUAUGAAGAAGGCCUUCGGGUUGUAAAUUACCUUCAGCGGGGAGGAAGGGAGUAAAGUUAAUACCUUUGCUCAUUGACGUUACCCGCAGAAGAAGCACCGGCUAACUCCGUGCCAGCAGCCGCGGUAAUACGGAGGGUGCAAGCGUUAAUCGGAAUUACUGGGCGUAAAGCGCACGCAGGCGGUUGAUUGAGUCAGAUGUGAAAUCCCCGGGCUUAACCCGGGAAUUGCAUCUGAUACUGGUCAGCUAGAGUCUUGUAGAGGGGGGUAGAAUUCCAUGUGUAGCGGCGAAAUGCGUAGAGAUGUGGAGGAAUACCGGUGGCGAAGGCGGCCCCCUGGACAAAGACUGACGCUCAGGUGCGAAAGCGUGGGGAGCAAACAGGAUUAGAUACCCCCGUAU